AUGGCCUCAGGAUUCUUCCUCCUUGUUCUUUUGGCUCUAUCAGCUUCUCGUCCUCUUGCCUCCGACCCUGGCCAGCUCCAGGAUUUCUGCGUCGCUGACAGGACAUCCCAAGUUUUCGUGAACGGAUUUGCAUGCAAAGACCCAAAGACUGCCUUGGUAGAAGACUUCGUCUUCUCGGGGCUUCACAUGGCUGGGAACACGAGCAACAAGCAAGGCUCUUCUGUGACCGCAGUUAACGUCGCGCAGAUUGCUGGAUUGAACACUUUGGGCAUCUCCCUUGCUCGUGUUGAUUAUGCAUCCCAUGGUCAAAACCCACCGCAUAUCCACCCCCGUGCAAGUGAGAUCCUGACUGUGCUAGAAGGUUCGCUCUAUGUUGGUUUCGUGACCUCGAACCCUGAAAACGAGCUGUUCUCAAAAGUUUUGAACAAAGGGGAUGUGUUUGUCUUUCCACAAGGGCUGAUUCACUUCCAGUUCAACUAUGGAACUAGCAAGGCGAUAGCCAUUGCGGCGCUGAGUAGCAAAAACCCCGGAGUGAUCACCAUAGCAAAUACGGUGUUUGGAUCAAAUCCAUCCAUCUCAGAUGAUAUACUUACCAACGCCUUCCAGGUGGACAAGAAGAUGGUAGACCAUAUUCAAGCUCAAUUCUAG
Molecule: ribosomal RNA, 648 nt
Filed under: Triticum aestivum (bread wheat)
Lineage: Eukaryota; Viridiplantae; Streptophyta; Magnoliopsida; Poales; Poaceae
Description: partial small subunit ribosomal RNA
Source: RNAcentral